RNAcentral lists this small RNA (44 nucleotides) under Arabidopsis thaliana (thale cress). RNAcentral describes it as "ATSL116010". The record is from RNAcentral. Lineage: Eukaryota; Viridiplantae; Streptophyta; Magnoliopsida; Brassicales; Brassicaceae.
GGCUUCUUCGCCGUCUCUACAUGCCGCUGCUCUGAUUGCUGCCU